CGCAUUUCCUCCCGCCCCUCCCCGCGCUCCCACCGCGCAGGCGCCGAGCGAGGGGAAGAUGGCGGCGCCCGUGGACUUGGAGCUGAAGAAGGCCUUCACGGAGCUGCAGGCCAAGGUGAUCGACACGCAGCAGAAGGUGAAGCUGGCCGACAUCCAGAUCGAGCAGCUGAGCAAGACCAAAAAGCACGCGCACCUCACCGACACCGAGAUCAUGACGCUGGUGGACGAGACCCGCAUGUACGAGGGCGUGGGCAGGAUGUUUAUUCUUCAGUCUAAAGGAGUCAUUCAUAAUCAGCUUUUAGAGAAGCAGAGAAUAGCAGAAGAGAAAAUUAAGGAAUUAGAGAUGUCUGGCAGUUUCGUGUGAAGGAUAUUCCUUGGACUUGGGAUUCCCUAAGGAAGAGGAUUAGAUUGACAGUUGCUGAAAAAAUCAGGAGAGGGCUGUGACACUGCUGACCUGGUUGUCCCUGCUGCUCACCACACAGCAAAGCAGUGAGGACAGCCUUUGUAAAGAGCUGUGAAAAUAAAGCUUUGCUGGAAUAUGCACUCCAUGUCCUCUGUGAGUGGAACUGUGUGAGCAUGGCUCUGAAAACCCAAAGGGGUGUAAGAUACGUACAAACAAACAAGGGGGCAGACAUAGUCUGUCAGUCAGCACACAAAGUAGUUUUAUCCUUCUUUUAAAGGAGAUACGAAUGUGUAUAUGCACGUGUUUAGCAAACUUAACUUCACACUUUGUUUAUAAUCCUUUGGAAUCCAAAGAGACUGUCUAGGCUUGCUUACACAAUGCAUGUUUGCUUACAGGCUGUGUCAGUGAAGCUUACCAAAACCUUCUUGGCUCUUACAGAGGCUGAGUGUAUGAGUCCAUGCCAUCACAUGGGAAGCUUCCUGCCUAAGCGUAGCUAUUGGAUUUUUCCAGUCCUGAUAAUAUCAAAUUCUUGUUGUGUUUCACAGUGCAAAGGGUAUGUGUAAAUCUAUUUUGAAAGCAUUCUAAAGGGAUGAGCACUGACUCUUUUUAGCUCAGCAAUGUUUGUGCAGUAUUAAGAGAAAAACCAAGUAAUGUUUUUCUUCCCUUGUUUUUAAGGAAACAUGAUAUGUGAGGGGUGGAACAAUGCUUUGUUUCAGGAAAUGUUAUCCGUUUCCAUUGUAGGGCUAGAUGGAUUCUGUUUUUAAAUGUGGCAUUUUAAAAAGAACAAACUCUGAUAUUACAAAGACAUGGAAAAUUGAUUCUUCGUUAGGGGUGGAGAAAGUGAUUAUUGCUGUGUGUUUUCUCUGAUAAUAUCUGAUAAUCCCUCUCUCUCCUGCUAUAUUCAGCAUGUUUAGUCGUCAGGCGUUGUCAGACUAAAUUUCUAAAAAUAACAAAUAAGAGGGAGGCUGUGCUGGGCCAUGUUGUUGAUUGUGCUGCUGAAUUUAGCCCCUUCUUGCAAAGGACAAAAGUAACCUGCAGCUUUCCUGGGGAAUUGGAUUUGGAUUUAAAGCUCUGCCCACGGCACUGCUGCACACCUACAUCCCAUGCACUUCUUUAUGCACUUGUAUGGAGUCUGAACGUUUAAUGCUGUAGGGCAAAAGGGUUGGUUGGUUUCUUCUUUUUCUGUCUGAAGUUGAAAAUAACAUGAGGGAAGGCAUACCCAAGUGCUAGGGACCCCAAAAAGAAUUUUUGAGUCUAAGUGCAGUGUCCAGCCAUCCCAUCCCAUGCAGAAAGCUUCUUAACUCUUGUUCAUGAUUGGAAAAAAAACUGCCUCUUGUUUAAAAACUGGUCAGGUUUGGUAGGGCUGCAUUGUGCUGAAGCUAAGAUGCCACUAAAUUGUGAUACUUUGAGGUGUCUGGAUGUCAGAUGUAGCAGUGGGUCUUCCCUGGUUUGCCUGCACACAAACCUGCUUGCACUCCACCUGUCUGUUCUGUGAUACUUUCUGGGGGCUUUGGAAUGGCCACACUGCAGCUCUGUGGUGCAGUGGCUGCGCCCCUGUUCUUGCUGAGCAAGCAGGGUGUCUGCUGGCUGCCAUAGCGCAGUUUUUCUUUCCUGGGGCAGCUAAGGCUGAAGUGAGUGAGGUGUGUCUGGGGAGCAGUGUCAGAGUGUGAGAGCUGGUGCUUUGUACUCUCAGUGUAGGCAUGGCCUGCUCUGUGGCAGUUCUCUGGACAAGCCUUUGUUUUUUUAUGCUGAAACUGUCCAUGUGGAGGCCAAUUCAGAGGGUAGCUUUAAUGAUGUGCAAACAAGUCUCUUGAGAUGUGUGGUCCUGCAGACCACUGGCGACCACCAGAAGGUAGCAGUUGUUUGGCCACGUUCUUCCUGAGAUUUGCAGCACAGGAGCUCUCAUCCCAUAGUUGGAAUGGAUAGGCCAGCGCCCAGGAAUGUGUGGUGCGCUUCUUAAAUAAACAGGGGAAAAUAAAGAAUGCUUGUAUUUGGCUUGUAGGGGGAAGCUUCAAGAACAGCCCUCUAUGAUUUAGCCUAGAGCAGAUUUUACUUCGGAAGAGUGUGUUUUUCUCUAUUGCAUUGCUGACUCAAUCCACAUGUUCAGGACAUGAUUUAAAUGUGUUGUCACAGCAGCCCCUGGCUUCUAAGGACAGCCCUAAGUAUGCAUAUAGAAGAUGUCAGACUCUGGCUUGGUCUCAGUCCUUUUGGCAUUAUAGUCUCAACUCCUCCAAGGAAGGCUGUCAUGCUUCUUGUUGCUCAUCCGGCAGUCUGAAUUUAUGCUUGGGAGCUUCAUUAGCUCUCCCUGGUCAUGAGGAGGCCUUGGGUCCAGGAUGAAAGCUUCCAGAGGUAGCUUGCUAUCAGCAUGGGGGCAUCCACAGCUGCUUCCAUAGGAGAGCAGAGCAUGGGCAGAGCUGUGGGCAUGCAUCUGUUCUCCACCAGCAGGCUUGUUGUGAAGAAGGCAGUAUGAAGCUCAUUUGGUUUUUUUCCUGUAGGUCUGGCUGUCUUAUAGCGGAGGUUAAUUUUUCUUCUUUUUCUUGAAAAGGGAAAUACCCUGAACAAUGGACAAAACAAACCUUAAAUGUAAUGUAAUGAUGAAAAGGUUGAGAGUGUUGGAGCUAAUGCUCUUGGGACAGAACCUUCUUAAUGGAGAAGUCCUCUGAUGCUGGACUGGUGCCAUACAAAUUUAAGGUAAAUAUUGGGUAUGUGUAAUGCUGCUCUAGUUCUUUCUGUCCCUUGGACUGACUCUGCUGGCAGGAGCCUGAGCAGCAUGCUUACCCCUUGCUUCCAAGGCUCUGGAUGGAUCUGAUGACUUCUUUCUUUAAAGCCUCACAGUCUGUCUUAAAGGUUGCUUGUGAAAAGUGAAGAAGGCAGUAAGAGGGUUGCUUUCUUACAGCCUACAUCACAUGUAUUUUUUCUGUUUUCCUUCUAUUGAGAUACCAUAAUUUCACUCUCAGGUAAAUUAAAGUUGGUUGUGUGCAGUUCAUGUCCUGUAGCUUUACAAGGGAACAAAUACUCUUCAGUAAUUGCAAGGAAUAAGUUAUAUUUUUUUAUAGUGGUCCACAUCCCUAUGCUAGAUUUGUUAGAUAAAAAUCAAAUAGAUAUGUGCUCUGCUCUGAAACUUGCUUAACAAGUUGGUCAUAUGUUAAGUAGUGCAGAAGUCACCAGUUGCAAAAUGCCAAGUUGUAACCUCACAGAUGAGGAGAAGGAAAAUAAUCACAUUUAAGGGGAAUUCCCAGCUCUCAGAAAGGAUCUCCCACCAGUUCAGAUGCAGAAUGGCUUGUGAAAACUCCGCAUCCCAUUUCUGUGAAGCAUGAUUGUAGGUGAUGCUCAUUUGGGUAGAAUGACCUGAAUUUAUAGUGUCAUGUGUAUGAUGCGCACGGGGCUGGAGUUUUCAUUUACAGCAGUCAUUCACAGCACAAAGUUUUCAACCUUUCCAAAUUUUGCAAGGAACGAGUUAAUUAGUAAUCGUGUUACCCUUCAUUGUGCGACAUUACUGCAAAGUAAGCACACAAACUAGAUGAAAGGGCAAAGGCCUCGCGAAGGGGGAACUGGGAUUUGACAGCUUUUUUUUUUCUCCCUGCUAUUCCUGCCUUUAUUUUUUGUUGAAUAAUUGUAGAUUAUAAAGGCAGGAUAAUAAUUAAUAUUUAUGUUGAUUAAGUUGAUUCAGAACUUUGUUAUGGAGACACUUUCAAAAUAAGUUUUAUCCCAGAGCUUACUUUGGGAUUUUUGGUUUUGAUCUGACACACAAAUCUAAUGGAAAAAGCUUUUCAAAGCAAACUGUGCCAGUGCUUUGGCAUUCCUUUGUCAGUCAGGGGAAAGUGAAGAACAUUAUGCGCUAAUAAAAAAAACACUUCUGCUGUCUAAAUGGUUUUGUCCAUCUGGGGGCAUGCAUUUUGUCAUCAGGGUCUGAAAAUGUUGCUUAUUUCCUCUGCUUAGCAUUGAGCUAAGUUCUUACAAAUACGUUGAAAUCAUUUGAACACCAAACUGAUAGAUAAGUCUUUCUUUGUCAUUUUAAACCAGGGUCUGAUUCAUUGUCAAAGCUGUUCUUUGUACUUAGGGCUGUGGAAAUACCCAAAGCAACGAGCAGAGCUGGAUGUGGGUCCCUCUCCAAAUUCCUCCUUGCAUGAGUAAUGGUUAGUCACAAAACCAGCACCGCUGUGCCUGCCUGAGUCACCCGGCCCUAAGCGGUCGCUCCUUGCUGCCCUUUGUGCCUGGUGAUUCCAGAGCUCUGGGCAGGGGGAUUACACGUACCUGCCGCCCCCAUCUCCUCUGUCUCGCCCGGGGAGAACAGGAAGCGAUUAUUUGGAAAGCGUGCUGCUGCGUGUGGGAGGCCUGACCCAGCCCUGAGUCAGCUUUGUGGAGCCACACCUUGCUCACCAGGUAUGCGGGAGGCUUGUCACGACUUCCUGCUGGCCCUGUGCUGCAUCAGGUUGCUGCACUGCUCUGCCCAAAAGCAUGCUCCUGGGAAGACGUGGCAGUGUUCUCCCUUCUGCCCAUGAGCCCACAGGCAUUGGCUGGGGGAGUGAUAGCUAGUUAGGCAUUCAUUUCUUCUGGUUGCUGACUUUCUGAGUCUUCUACCUUUACAGAAGUAGUAGUUCUUCAAAAAUAGCCUCUUCUGGCCCAAACUGUAAGAGCUAGAUGGAGAUGUGUUUUGGUUUUUACAACAGCCGUGGUGCUAGCAGGUACUCUCAUCUGCCAUGCUGGCUCUGCAGGAAUGUAGAAACUGAAGCACUGAGUGAAGGAACUUACUAUGUUUUGCAAGGGGCACAUUUCCUCCCAGGCAGAAUGUGGGGAUUUCAGCUCUGGAUGAGUUUCCUCCCAAGUUCUCUGUAUAUGACAUGAUUGUUGUCAUGAGGCUGCCAGGAGUGUGGUAUCGGGCUUGGAGCAACGUGUCUGAGAGCUGUCCUUUAGAAGGGUGAUUUUUCCAAGGAGUGUCCCAACAGGAGUCUGCACUGCAAGUAUAUUUCUGCUGCCACCUACUGAAACGUUCUCAUCAGCUUUCCCUGGUAGCCACCACUGGAGUAGGGUGCACAAGUUCACUGGAACAGUCCAUCAUUUCCCAGUCACGGAAAGCACCUAUCUCCACCUCUAAUUAACGUUCUGCCAUGUGGCUGACAUGACAGUUAUGUGUGGCGUGCCUGGGCUCUGUUGCAGAAGGCUCCUUGGCACAUUCGUUCCCCUGCCUGUUACCUUGCCACUUCUUUUGGAGAGCUACCUCCCUUGCUACCACACUGGGAAAUGGUGAAUGCUUUCCCAGAGCACAUGCACCUCAAAGCACUGCAGAGAUGAUGUUGGAAGCCCUGCUGGCAGUGCAGUAGGUAGGACCAGCACAGGAUAGGGGCAGGUUUGCACCAGGAUUUCUUAAGCUGAGCAGUGGGUCCAGGUGAACCUCACAAAGCUCAACAAAACUGAGUGCACAAUCUGCACCUUGGUGCCAGCGACCUUUGCUAUCAGUACAAGUUGGGGGACAAAAGGAUAGAGCACAGCCCUGCUAAGAAGGACUUUGGGGUACUGCUGGAUGGCAGCUGGACAUGAGCCACCACUGUGCCCUUGCAACCCAGAGAGCAAACCAUACCCUGGGUGCACCCAAAGCAGCAGCCAGCAGGAUGAGGGAGAGGAUCUGCUCCUCUGUUCUGUGCUGUGAGACCUCACCUGGAGUGCUGCAUCCGGACAGGGAGUGCUCAGCACAGGAGAGACAUGGAGCUGUUGGAGCACAUCCAGAGGAUGGCCCAAAAAUGCUCCCAGGGAUGAAACACCUCCCUGUGAGGACAGGCUGAGAGAACUGGGGUUGUACAGAUGGAGAAGGGAAGGUGAAAGUGGCCUUUCAGUAUCUGAAGGGGCUGUAAGAAGGAAGGGGACAGACUCCUUAGCAGGGGCUGCUAUGAGAAGGUGAGAGAAAUGGUUUCAAACUAAAAGAGGGGAGACUUAGAUUAGAUAUAAGGAAGCAGUUUUUUAUACUGAGGGCAGUGAGGCACUGGCAUGGGGUGCACAGAGAGGUGGCGGUGCUCCGUCCCUGCAGGCAGCCAAGCUCAGACCGGAUGGGCUGUGAGCACUGAUGGAGCUGUGGGUGUCCCUGUGCACUGCAGGGGCUUGGACUGCAUGGCCUUUGGGGGUCCCUUUCAACACUAACAGUUCUAUCAUUCUAGAUCUCCUUUGUAACUGAGGCAGACUGUGCUGCCUCUCUCUAGUUCAGAUGGCUUGAAAGCGAUUGAGUGUCCCUAUUGCCUUGUGGAAAGAGUAAGUGAGGGAAAACCCAAGGACAUGAAUCAUUGCUUCUCCUCCUUGGGGGGUGGCAUCAUCACGCUGCUGUCAGUGGCUGUCGUCAGGAACCAGCUGUGGUCCUUUCCUAUUGCAGUUCACUCGUAAGCAAACUACAGGCAGCUUCCUGAGAGCAAUAACCCUGCUGCUUGGAAAGUCUGAAGUGCAUCUAAAUAUUUGGUGGUUGCUGUGUCAUUCCCGGUGUCAGUAUGCCGCACCAUGCUGCAGGUUGAGCCUGGGGGGGCAUAGGGCUGCCCCCUGUGCUGCCCAUGGGCUGUUUGUGUCUCCUGCUGCAGGAUGGCUGAGUGCUGUUCAGGAGAUCCUCCUUACCAUGGAGGAAUUUCAAGUGGAAAUCUCAUUGGGCACAGUGCAUCUCUUGGGCACAGUGAGACCCUGGGCAGGAGAGCUGUGUGCUGUGUCCUGACCCCACGAUGGCCCAUGUUCCUCUGGAGAAGAACUCUCUGCAGCUGAGGGUGUGUUCCCUGCUCUAUCAUGGGAUCUGCUUAUCACUUUCCCAAAGAGUGUGCACACAGAGACUGCAAGGAAUGCCAAAAAUUACCUGAUUUAACUUUAGGGAUAGUGAAACUAAGCUAGCACGUUUAUUGAGACUGUCACAAGAUGAGUUAUAUCAGGGCACCUAUUUGAGGCACUGCAUCAUGCCUGAAGACUCCAGGGCAUUCUUCCACAGCAGUCAUCUUCUGUGUGUGGGAGGGGUGUGCCAGGGAGGGCUCUGGUAGGGACCUGAGCAUGUAUCAUCCUCACACACUGGGAGUUGUAGGAAAGGAGCAUAAAAAAAAAAAAAAA
RNA transcript from Phasianus colchicus (ring-necked pheasant), 7468 nucleotides. It is a transcript of the gene named prefoldin subunit 1, with no coding region annotated. NCBI's taxonomy places the organism in Eukaryota, Metazoa, Chordata, Aves, Galliformes, Phasianidae. The record is from RefSeq and is a predicted model, not a curated record.